GCUUUCUUAGCUCAGUAGGUAGAGCUCUUGAUUUGUAAUCAAGUGGUCGUCAGUUCAAGUCUGACAGAAAGCU
Molecule: transfer RNA, 73 nt
Filed under: Alloprevotella tannerae
Lineage: Bacteria; Pseudomonadati; Bacteroidota; Bacteroidia; Bacteroidales; Prevotellaceae
Also listed under: 1 other name
Description: tRNA-Thr
Rfam family: tRNA
About the family: Transfer RNA (tRNA) molecules are approximately 80 nucleotides in length. Their secondary structure includes four short double-helical elements and three loops (D, anti-codon, and T loops).
Source: RNAcentral